RNAcentral lists this ribosomal RNA (513 nucleotides) under Triticum aestivum (bread wheat). Its description in RNAcentral is "partial small subunit ribosomal RNA". The record is from RNAcentral. Lineage: Eukaryota; Viridiplantae; Streptophyta; Magnoliopsida; Poales; Poaceae.
AUGACGGCCAGCCGCCGCCGCCACGCCCGCUCGCCGGCGGUAGCGCCGCUGGACGACGACGACCUACUCUCCGAGAUCCUCGUCCGCCUUCCCCCGCAGCCCUCGUCCCUCCCGCGCGCCUCCCUCGUCUGCAAGCGCUGGCGCCGCCUCGUCUCCGACCCCGCCUUCUGCCGCCGCUUCCGCCUCCGCCACCGCCGCAGCGCUCCUCUCCUCGGGUUCUUCGACAUAUUCUGUAACAUCUCCUUCAUACCUACUCUGGAGGCCCCCAACCGUAUCCCUCCCGGCCGCUUCUCCUUGCAGCUCGACCACGGGGACGGCGACUUCAUGUCCCUUGGAUGCCGCCAUCGUCUCGUGCUCAUCUACCUUACGAAGCGCCUCCAGAUCCUGGCGUGGGACCCCGUCACCGCCGACCAGCAUCGCCUCGCCAUCCCCCCUGCGGUUGUGGCAUGUGCGUCGAAGACUCCGGUCAACGGGGCGGUGCUUCGCGCUGCUGGAGACGUCCAACACUUCUAG